Long non-coding RNA from Aplysia californica (California sea hare), 667 nucleotides. RefSeq lists it as uncharacterized. The transcript is spliced from 4 exons. The record is from RefSeq and is a predicted model, not a curated record. Lineage: Eukaryota; Metazoa; Mollusca; Gastropoda; Aplysiida; Aplysiidae.
GAAGCAAUUCAGGCAUGCCCUUGACGAUCACACAAACUUAGACAGCGGAAACGAAAGUAGACUUCGUUCUUUAGUAUUGGCUUUGCAGCACGAAAGAAAUCAAACAGCUCUUGUCUUCGGCAUGCUUCUAUCUCUGAUUUGACCAGGCGUCAAACGAAAACUUCUGAAACGUCUCAUUUGAAUUUGACGAGCAAUUGAGACUCAAAUAAGGCAGUGGAAUGUCUUCGGCAGCCGCUAAGGUGGUUGUGGUCUUGAUGGAGAGUUUAGCAGGCACAGGACACAGGCUCUUCAGAACGCGACCAAAAACAGCUGAGAAAUUGGAGUUUUUAUAUUUUGAUCCGUUUGUUCAGCAGAGAGUGCUCUACAAGGAAAAAAAGAGAGUGAAAACAUUAAAGUCCAAAUGAAAUCUGUUGUGUGUCUUAGUGAGAAAAUGAGUCAUGUGAGAAUGUUGCAUUACUUUUAGUUCCUGUGUUCAGGGUGUACAGAGUCCUUCUAAGAAAAUGUCUGAGAGCAUGUGAGUGAAAGAAAGUGCAAGUUCUUAUGUGUGUGGUUGUUCUAUGGGACUGAUGGCGGGAAAAUGAGCUGAUCUGUGUGCUGGGUAUAUUAGUCACAAUAGAUGAGACUGUCAUGUAUGAAAUUAUUAAUAAAUUUCUCACACUCACAUUCA